Non-coding RNA from Benincasa hispida (wax gourd), 880 nucleotides. The record is from RefSeq and is a predicted model, not a curated record. Lineage: Eukaryota; Viridiplantae; Streptophyta; Magnoliopsida; Cucurbitales; Cucurbitaceae.
CUAAAGAAGCAUCUUAUGCUCUUCUUUUCUCCCAACCCAACCACAAGCAUUCUCCAUCUCCCUCUCUAAUUUCUUCAGCUUUUCACCUCUGCAUAUUCCUUUCCUUCGCCUAUGCCGCCUUAAAAUCUAUUUUUCAGGCUCUCAUCAGUCAUCAGCUCCGCCUAGUUCUUAACUCCAACUUCAAUUAUGCUUCCAUAAUUUGUAAGUUGGCAAUGAGAGAUGAAUGGCGUGGGGAAUCUUCCGACGUGGGGCGAACAGAUCCGACACCGAACGAUCAAAUCGGGGUGAGCAGAUUUGUUGACGACGCAAGGUGACCGCAUUCUAGACAAGAUGAAGAUAGGACACUACUACAGAAAUUGGAUUACUUGACAGACAUUUUUUCAAUGUCAUGUAUACCCGACGCUUAUAAAAACGUCGGGUAUUCGGCUCCGAAAAAACGUCAAGACAAAUAUUUCUUGAUACAAUUUUCGCAUCAAGAAAGAUAAUACACUCAACAUUGGUGUGCAGGUGGAUUGAACGGCAGUUAAACGACGACCCAACAAAACCGGCAGUUGAAGCGACUAAGAUCAGGGGGCGAGCGACAGACGACCGAUCACUAGCGAAAGCGACGGAAGCGGUUGGGGGCAUUUGGCUACAGAUCUGGGCGGGGCUGAAGACUUGCGAAUGACGUGCAUAGCUGAGCUGGCAUGACUGAGCUGACGGCGAGGGAGAGGCACUCAGGUGUGGAGGCGCGAACAAAGGCGAGGGGAGAAUGGAGAGCAGCCGGCAAGGACAGCGGUCCGAAUGUGAAGGUUGACGACGGCUAGGGCUCUCGGGCGCACGAAAGAAGAAAAAAAGAAUUCGGAGGGAAAGGGAGGGUCACGUGAGUGGAACGGUGAAG